RNAcentral lists this ribosomal RNA (725 nucleotides) under uncultured bacterium. RNAcentral describes it as "bacterial SSU rRNA". It matches the Rfam family "Bacterial small subunit ribosomal RNA", at positions 138 to 873 of the family's 1533-position model. The record is from RNAcentral.
GGGGGAUACCCAUUGGAAAAGGAAUGGUUAAUCCGCCUUAAGGCGCCCAGGGAUGCCAUGUUCUGUUUUGAAAACUUCCGGGUGUAUUAAGAAUGGACCGCGUUCUGAUUAGGUAGUUUGUGGGGUAACGGCCUACCAAGGCAACGAUCAGUAGCCGACCUGAGAGGGUGACCGGCCACAUUGNGACUGAGACACGGCCCAAACUCCUACGGGAGGCAGCAGUGGGGAAUAUUGCACAAUGGGCGAAAGCCUGAUGCAGCGACGCCGUGUGAGCGAAGAAGUAUUUCGGUAUGUAAAGCUCUAUCAGCAGGGAAGAAUGAAUGACGGUACCUGACUAAGAAGCACCGGCUAAAUACGUGCCAGCAGCCGCGGUAAUACGUAUGGUGCAAGCGUUAUCCGGAUUUACUGGGUGUAAAGGGAGCGCAGGCGGUUCGGCAAGUCUGAUGUGAAAGCCCGGGGCUCAACCCCGGUACUGCAUUGGAAACUGUCGAACUAGAGUGUCGGAGGGGUAAGUGGAAUUCCUAGUGUAGCGGUGAAAUGCGUAGAUAUUAGGAGGAACACCAGUGGCGAAGGCGACUUACUGGACGAUAACUGACGCUGAGGCUCGAAAGCGUGGGGAGCAAACAGGAUUAGAUACCCUGGUAGUCCACGCUGUAAACGAUGAAUACUAGCUGUUGGGGAGCACUGCUCUUCAGUGGCGCAGCAAACGCAAUAAGUAUCCCACC